This 311-nucleotide ribosomal RNA is filed under the name uncultured bacterium. RNAcentral's name for it is "bacterial SSU rRNA". It matches the Rfam family "Bacterial small subunit ribosomal RNA", at positions 28 to 334 of the family's 1533-position model. The record is from RNAcentral.
GAUGAACGCUGGCGGCGUGCUUAAUACAUGCAAGUCGAACGAACAUUAAGAGUGCUUGCACUUUUAAUGUUAGUGGCGAACGGGUGAGUAAUACAUAGGCAACUUGCCCCAAGGACUGGGAUAACAGUUAGAAAUGACUGCUAAUACCGCAUAAGACCACAGCACCGCAUGGUGCAGGGGUAAAAACUCCGGUGGUAUGAGAUGGAUCCGCGUCUGAUUAGCUAGUUGGUAAGGUAACGGCUUACCAAGGCAACGAUCAGUAGCCGACCUGAGAGGGUGACCGGCCACAUUGGGACUGAGACACGGCCCAA